GGACGUCGUCGGCGGCGGCGGCGGCGCGAACCACGACGAAGAACAGACCACUUCGAUUCCCAUAAUAUUUACUCCGGAGCAGCAGAAUUACGUUCGAGAUUUGAAUCAGAAAGCAGCUUCUCUCAGCCGCUCGGUCCACGAUCUGCGCCUUCGAUUGCCUCCUCCCGACAUCUCACAACGCCUUCCCCACCUUCAUGCCCAUUCCCUUGCCUCCACGGCCGAUCUUACUCUUCAAUUGAACGCCCACUCUACCACUCGCCAACAGGUCCAAUUGAGAGAGAUAUCACUACAGGAAGAAAAUGUUGCAUAUGGAAAGGCCAUAUCAAAUUGUGAAAAUAAAAUACAGGAAAAGAGGCAGGAAGCAGAUUUGCUUCUAAGGAAGUUGGAGGAGUUGGAAGAAACCACAGCCCACUCUACCACUCGCCAACAGGUCCAAUUGAGAGAGAUAUCACUACAGGAAGAAAAUGUUGCAUAUGGAAAGGCCAUAUCAAAUUGUGAAAAUAAAAUACAGGAAAAGAGGCAGGAAGCAGAUUUGCUUCUAAGGAAGUUGGAGGAGUUGGAAGAAACCACA
Molecule: unclassified non-coding RNA, 571 nt
Filed under: Hevea brasiliensis (rubber tree)
Lineage: Eukaryota; Viridiplantae; Streptophyta; Magnoliopsida; Malpighiales; Euphorbiaceae
Source: RNAcentral